Molecule: transfer RNA, 87 nt
Filed under: Glacieibacterium arshaanense
Lineage: Bacteria; Pseudomonadati; Pseudomonadota; Alphaproteobacteria; Sphingomonadales; Sphingosinicellaceae
Description: Polymorphobacter sp. DJ1R-1 tRNA-Leu
Rfam family: tRNA
About the family: Transfer RNA (tRNA) molecules are approximately 80 nucleotides in length. Their secondary structure includes four short double-helical elements and three loops (D, anti-codon, and T loops).
Source: RNAcentral
GCCCACGUGGCGGAACUGGUAGACGCAAGGGACUUAAAAUCCCUCGGCCGCAAGGUCAUGCCGGUUCGAGUCCGGCCGUGGGCACCA